UGAAUACGAGACGCUACGGCGUCGAAGCAGUCUAUGUCAUACUUCCAAGAAAAGCUUGCACUGUCAUAAACAAAUAAUGCCUGUACCAUAACCGACACAGGUGGGUAGGUAGAGUAUACUAAGGGGCGCGAGAUAACUCUCUCUAAGGAACUCGGCAAAAUGACUCCGUAACUUCGGGAGAAGGAGUGCCUUAAGAAAUUAAGGUUGCAAUAACAAGAUCCAAGCAACUGUUUAUCAAAAACACAGGUCUCCGCUAAGUCGUAAGACGAUGUAUGGGGGCUGACGCCUGCCCAGUGCCAGAAGGUUAAAGAAGUCGGUUAGCAUUAGCGAAGCUGGUAACUGAAGCCCUGGUGAACGGCGGCCGUAACGAUAACGGUCCUAAGGUAGCGAAAUUCCUUGUCGGGUAAGUUCCGACCCGCACGAAAGGCGUAAUGAUUUGGAUUCUGUCUCGGAGAGGGACUCGGUGAAAUAGACUUGUCUGUGAAGAUGCGGACUACCUGCACCAGGACAGAAAGACCCUAUGAAGCUUUACUGUAACUUGAAAUUGAAAUUGGACUUUACUUGCGCAGUAUAGGUGGGAGGCGUUGAGAAUAUUCUUGCGGGAAUAUUGGAGCCAUCAGUGAGAUACCACUCUUGUAAUGUUAGAUUUCUAACUUUGUAUCAUUAUCUGGUCAAAGAACAGUUUCAGGCGGGCAGUUCGACUGGGGCGGUCGCCUCCUAAACGGUAACGGAGGCGCACAAAGGUUUCCUCUGAACGGGUAGAAAUCGUAUCUAGAGUGUAAAGGCAUAAGGAAGCUUGACUGUGAGACCUACAAGUCGAGCAGGGACGAAAGUCGGUCUUAGUGAUCUGACGGUGCUGAGUGGAAAGGCCGUCACUCAACGGAUAAAAGUUACUCUAAGGAUAACAGGCUGAUCUCCCCCAAGAGUUCACAUCGACGGGGAGGUUUGGCACCUUGAUGUCGGCUCAUCGCAUCCUGGGGCGGUAGUACGUCCCAAGGGUUGGGCUGUUCGCCCAUGAAAGCGGUACGCGAGCUGGGUUCAGAACGUCGUGAGACAGUUCGGUCCAUAUCCGGUGUAGGCGUUAGAAUAUUGAGAGGAGCCUUCUUUAGUACGAGAGGACCGAGAAGGACAUACCUCUGGUGUACCAGUUAUCGUGCCAACGGUAAACGCUGGGUAGCCAUGUAUGGAGAGGAUAACCGCUGAAAGCAUCUAAGUGGGAAGCCCACCUCAAGAUAAG
Molecule: ribosomal RNA, 1237 nt
Filed under: metagenome
Description: bacterial LSU rRNA
Rfam family: Bacterial large subunit ribosomal RNA
Source: RNAcentral